CUGGAACAUAUGAGGGAAAUGGUCAAACUUUCAGAACCCCAAAAGAUUGGGCAUGGUUACCUUCAUACUAGUAGUUUUGGAAACAGCAGAGUGAUGUGUGACUUUUUAAAACACAGAUUUUCGGUAUUUUCAAUGUAGAUCAGUGUCCUCAUUUACCAUUCUGUGAUUCAUAAAUCUGUUAGCCCUCUGCUCUUUUCCAACCCUGUUAAGAAGGCAGAGAGCCAUUUUCUGAUCCAUUAAGUGCCUUUUGUCAAAUAGUAGAUAAAAAGCACCCACCCACAUACAAACCUCAGAAAUGUAGCAUCUUUCCAAGGAUGUGUAACUGCCAGAGAUCUGGAGUUUAGGUGUUCAGUGUCUUGGUGCAGUUGGCUCCUUCCACACACAGCUGACAUGACCUUGGACCUCCUGAGCUACUGAGGGACAGGUAGCUGGGUCAUGCCCCCGUUUCCUUCCUCACGACUAAACACUCUGCUUGCCUUCCUGAUUCUGCCUUUGUGAGCAGGGCUCCCUGAACUCUCACAGUUUGUCUUCCCAGCCAAUUCUCCCCUUCUUUUCUGCCACCACCUUUUUGUUGCACCUAUUCUUCUGGCCUGGCAUUAUCAAAAAGUCAAAUCACGCUUUUUAUUGACAGAACAACAAUUUCAGAAUAUCAGAUGUAAUCUUUGAGUCUUUCUUUGGUUGCUCCCCUUCUGAUAAUCAUAGACUCAUUCUUUGUAGACAGAGUUUUCUUUUUUCUUCCCAUCUUAGUUUUAUUCUGGACACUAGAGAGUCCUAAAAGGCUCUUCAUUAUAUAACAAUUUUUUUUUGUAGUUCUGAAACCCAAACAAUUACCAAUAAAAGAUGUGACUGUAAGAUAAUACUACUACUAGUGGCCACCAUUUGUGGGAUAUUUUUGUGUGCCGUGCAGAGAGCUAGAAACUUCACAUGUAAUAGUACUUAGCACUUUUUUGAACUGAAGCCAGGGAAUGAAUUCAUAUUCCUCAAUAGUCAGCCUUCAAAGCGCAUGUUCUUAAUCACUGUACGUUCCCUCACCACCAAGGUCUUAAAGAAGCUGGUUUGAGUGGAGAGCAGUAAAGGUUGCUGGGUAGGAGGGAUAGCAGAGGAAAGGUGGCAAAGAAAGCAACUUUGGGGACUAAAAGACAAGUAUUGGCCUCAAAACAUAUUCACUUGACUAUAUUCUGUCUUGUAUCUUUUCCCUUUUUUAAAAUUUUUCAUAGAAAUCUACAUGUUUAAGAGGUAGGAUUUUAUCAAGAAGCUAAGAGACCAUAUUUUUCUAGUAUGGGCUAUAGAUAGUAAAAAGUCUAGAUGUAUGAUGAUGGAAGUGUAGCAGAAUAAACUGGAUGAAAUAAUUUUUUUGUUGGCAAUAUUUUUCAAAAUUCCUUAAAUAAUUAAAAGAACUAACUAAAAAAUGGGCUGCCCCUUUAUCAUUGCACAAUAGGCAACCUGUAGCCAACAUAAAUAAAAGUAGAAUCCCAUUUUUGAUGAAUUUUACAGGACAUCACACCUAUUACAUGUCUACUCAAUCCUUACUAAUUUUGAAACACACUCCCUACUUUGUGAAGUGGCUCAGGUUAUGAGCUGUAGAAUUUGUUGUGGGAAGUCAGUAGCACACCGUAAGCAUUAAAAAAUUGGUUUGAAAUUGUGUGAAAGGAAAUUUUUUUUUGUUUUGUUUGCUUUUUUGAGAUGGAGUUUCACUUUUGUUGCCCAGUUUGGAGUGCGAUGGGGCAAUCUUGCCUCACAGCAACCUCUGCUUCCCGGGUUUAGCUGAUUCUCCUGCCUCAGUCUCCUGAGUAGCAGGGACUAUGGGCAUGCACCACCACACCCACCUAAUUUUUGUAUUUUAGUAGAGACGGGGUUUUGCCAUGUUGGCCAGGCUGGUCUUGAAUUCCUGACCUCAAGGGAUCCGCCCGCCCCAACCUCCCAAAGUGUUGGGAUUACAGGCGUGAGCCACCAUGCCUGGCCAGGAAAUGUUUUUAGAGUUACAAAGCAAAGCAGUGGUACUUGAGAAGGUAAGUAGCAAUAUGGCCAUGCCCCCUACUGUAUUUGAAUAAUUGUGAAAAGGUUCAUAGUCUCCCUAAAACUUCUCAAGGCUGCUGGCCAAGGUGGCAUUCCCUCUCUUUGCAAAGCCUUUUUUAUCUGACAUGCUCCCUACCGACCGGACAAGAUACUCAGCUUUGUCAGAGGGAGUGGUGGGGCGGGGGUGGGAAAGUUUGGAAGAAAGGUGUGGGAACCUUAUGAUGUGUAGGAAAGGAGAGCCUGGCAGGCCAAGACAGCAAAAAGCAGGUGGAAAGCUGAAGUCGUUGUAGCAUGUCGCCUUUUAGAGUGUGAUUCUUCUAACUUCAGAGUCUGUUUAGGGACUCUCCACAGACAUUUAUCUACUUCUGCUGUCUUUUUUAUGAACUUAGGAAAUCUGAUCACUUGAGGUGAGAAUGCUUGGUAAAAUUCUGACCCAUCUCUCUUCCUUCCUCAAAAUCUGAGAGAUACCACUGUAACCCUCUGCUCACAUCUCCUUUUUACUUUCCUUUGCCUCUGUCCCAUAAACGUUUAUCCUUACUGACUUUCAUUUUAUGUGUUGAUAGGGUUUUUCCAGAACUCUCAAAGGAGAAGCACUUAUCAUAGUGCAGUUAUGGUGACAUUUACUUACUGCUUACUUUGUGCCAAGUGCCAUGCUAAGCAUUUAACUCCGAAAUGGUUAAUAUUAUUAUCCCCAUUUUGUUAAUGUAGAAAUGGGCACAGAGAAGUAACUUGCCAAGGUUACUCAGCAGCUAGGUGGUGGACCUAGGAUUCACUGUGAGCAUGCUGACUCCAGAGUCCACAUGCUAUGUCACACUCUUUCAUCACCUCCCGUAACUGGAAUCAGGUCCUAGAUUAGAGGCACGUCUUCAGGCAACCAGCCCUCUGGUUCCAUAUUCUACUCACUAAUGCCCUAUUUACUAAAAAUGAGUAAAUUAAUGAAACUCAAGAGUCACCAAUCUGAUAGAAAAAAUGGUUGUAUAUGUAAAAAACGCUGAAUAGGUCCAUUUAUAACAGACAUUAAGACUUUCCUAAACACCUAAAAUUGUCUGUUUCUUGUCUAUUGCCUUGUUCUUUCUUCUGCAUCCCUAGCAUAUGGGAGGUACCCUGUACAUGUUGAGUGAAUGAAUCUGUUAUGUACAUGUAAUGAAGCCAGUGUUAGACUGACCUGUUUGUUGGGGCAUAAAUAUGGUUUGAUUUUAUAGAAUUUGGGGGUUUUCACAAUUGAAGUGAAACAUGAGGGUGGAAAAAUGCCAUUGCAAGGCUAUAUACAUAUCUAUACCAGCAAGUAUCUAUUGAGAGUCUGGUAUUUGGUAGGUACUAUUUUGAGUAGAUACGUAAGAGGUAUGCAAAAUGCAUAUUUCUUUGGUGGAGCUUCUGGUCUUUGUGGAGCUAGUUAUUUAGUUUCAUUUUACAACUGAGUAAAUUGAGGCAAGAGGAGGAUAAAUUUCCCAAGGUCACCUACUAAGUUUUUGAUAGCUUUACGUCUGUGUAAAUUAUUGCCUACAGCCACUGAGCCAUGAAAUCAGUUUUACUUUUCAGGGUAGAGGUUAUUUUUAAUCUUAUGCUGGUUAAUUUUAACAAGUGAAAAGAUGAUGCAUUAUAAUACUCCUGGUAGUGUUUGUUUCUAACAAAGUAAUGAUAAAUCAACUUUCUGAGUAUAUCAGUUUAUAGUUGUUGUCAACUUUGGUUAAUAUCUAUAAAGUGACACUGAGCCUAUGAAGUGUAUAAACUUAAAAUUGAAGAAAUCUUGGAAUCAGAGGUAGACAUAAUAGAUUGUGGUUCUGGGAAAGGAGGUGGGAGGGUGUACUGGAGCAUGUGAAAUAAUCAUGAUCAUUGAGUUGAAUAAUCAUAUAAUUUAACAGAAACAUCUGGGCUUUCCACCAAUGUCAUCAUGAUGAUGAUUCAUCAAAGAUACCCUUUCAUGGCUGGAUGCGGUGGCUCAUGCCUGUAAUCCCCCAGCACUUUGGGAGGCCGAGGCACGUGGAUCUCUCGAGGUCAGGAGUUCAAGACCAGGCUGGCCAACAUGGCGAAACCCUGUCUCUACUAAAAAAACAAAAGUUAGCCAGGUCCGGUGGUGUGUGCCCAUAAUCCCAGCUACUUGGGAGUCUGAGGCAGUGAGGCAG
RNAcentral lists this long non-coding RNA (4139 nucleotides) under Homo sapiens (human). RNAcentral's name for it is "HSALNT0073429". The record is from RNAcentral. Lineage: Eukaryota; Metazoa; Chordata; Mammalia; Primates; Hominidae.